AGCGAACGCUGGCGGCAGGCUUAACACAUGCAAGUCGAACGGGCGUAGCAAUACGUCAGUGGCAGACGGGUGAGUAACACGUGGGAACAUCCCCCUCGGUUCGGAAUAACUCAGGGAAACUUGAGCUAAUACCGGAUAAGUCCGAGAGGAGAAAGAUUCAUCGCCGAGGGAUUGGCCCGCGUCUGAUUAGCUAGUUGGUGAGGUAAUGGCUCACCAAGGCGACGAUCAGUAGCUGGUCUGAGAGGAUGAUCAGCCACACUGGGACUGAGACACGGCCCAGACUCCUACGGGAGGCAGCAGUGGGGAAGAUUGGACAAUGGGCGAAAGCUUGAUCCAGCCAUGCCGCGUGAGUGAUGAAGGCCUUAGGGUUGUAAGGCUCUUUUGUCCGGGAAGAUAAUGACUGUACCGGAAGAAUAAGCCCCGGCUAACUUCGUGCCAGCCGCCGCGGUAA
RNAcentral lists this ribosomal RNA (451 nucleotides) under uncultured bacterium. Its description in RNAcentral is "partial 16S ribosomal RNA". It matches the Rfam family "Bacterial small subunit ribosomal RNA", at positions 29 to 523 of the family's 1533-position model. The record is from RNAcentral.